Molecule: long non-coding RNA, 4915 nt
Filed under: Bemisia tabaci
Lineage: Eukaryota; Metazoa; Arthropoda; Insecta; Hemiptera; Aleyrodidae
Description: lncRNA ENSASIAIIG013404
Source: RNAcentral
AUUCCAGGAAGAAAUCUGGAACUUAAAGAUGUAGUACCCACCAAUUUUGCAGAUUUUACUGGGGAAGAACUGCAGCAACUCUACUCUGUUUCUCAAGAUGCAGUAAAGUCUUUGCUAGAAAGAAAGCUAGCUACUGAAAAUUCACUUGCUAAUGAUACUGAACAAGACGUCAAGGAUGAACUUGCUGCCGAAUGGGAGAUACUUAAAUUAGAGAUAUCAUCAAUUUUAUCUGUUGCGGAAGCAGUUAAGUUAACCCUUGAUGAGAAACAAAAUCUGCAAUGGACAUUGAUGAACCGAAAAUGGAAGCUCUGGUACUCACAGGAUCUCAGGUUGUUCCUACUGCAUCUUCCGAAGCUUUCGAAGUGCAAGGUCAACCCCCCUCUCAGGAACAAGAAAUAGCAGAAACCAUGGAAGUAGCAGAUCCUGUGACUCCCCAUUCCCCAACUCCAUCUCCCGUUCCCUCCCAUCCAAUUUCUUCCCUUAUUGUGCGCCCUGAGUCUCCGUUUGGUGGAACCUACCCUAUCGAGAAGCUCGAUGAAAACACACUCGAUUCCAAUGCCUCUUUACUGGAUGAUGAAGUAGCUGGUAUUCCGUCUCUUGAAUUAGUCGAAUGUGCAAAAGAAGUAGGCUCACAAACAGGUCAGAGCUUAAGAACUCCCCCACCAGAACAAAAGAGUGUUGGUAUUCAAAUGUCUGAGCCGUCAAGCAUUCCGACCGUAGAUCUCCUUGAUGAAUCCACAGUGACUGAUCCAAUUUUCAAACAGAUUAUGAUCAGUCAGGUAAAAAAUGAAAAUGAUAAUACGAUUCAAAUUUCAACUGUGACCACAUUUCCCGAAGAUCAGAUUGAUAGUGUCAAAAUCGGAUUCGAGCGCAAUCCCGAUCAAACAACAAGCAUUCAGUAUUCUGAGAAAGUACCUUUCGAAGUGGCAAUUGCCGAACCUGGUUGGAGUAAUGUCUCUUUGACUCAUCACUCAGAUGACUCAUCUGUUCUAACUUUAAAGAACACCGGUGCGUUACCAUCCGAAAAUAUCAGAAACGAAGCUGCAAAACAGUUCUCCCUUGUUACAUUAGAAAGUUAUUUAGACACCUCUGAUGCCAAUGAAAAGUCCAAGUACUCUGGUCAAAUAACCUCUGGUUCAGUUGAUUCGGUAGUGUGCACUAAAUUUGAUCAUGCAACACCAGACUCGGAAGGACUGUUGAAUGAAUUAGAACCCUCAGAUUCUGCUGGAAUUGCCACCAAAGUGGAACAAAUCGAAAAAGAAAUCAUGCUCAAAAAUAUUUCUUUUACCGUGUCAGAAAAGUCAGAGGAGCAAUUUAAAAUUUCAGAAGUAUCAAGCAGAAAAUUUACAGAAACAUUGCCAAAAAUUUCAAUCGAGGUUAAAGAACCAAAGGCACCUAAUUAUGAGCCCUCAGCAAAGGAUAAUGAGUCUCAGUCAGAGAUUAGCUUAUCAGAAUCGAAUGAAAACUCAAAAGAAUCUACACCUGUGACAGAGGACAAAGAGAGUAAUGUCAGUUUUAAGGGACCAGAAGAUCAAUCAAGUCAUGUAAAAGCCCAGAAGAAAGUCUUGAGUAAAAAGAAGCAAGUGAUAAAAACUCAAGACAAGGAGGCAACGUCAAGUGCUGCACCUCACUCUGAUGAUACUGCGGAGGAAAUUGUUCCAGAUCCAGACAUGUCAGUGCCCAAGAAGAAGGCCAAUCGAAAAAAAGGUAAAAAGUCCCAAAAGAAUAUUCCACCCCCUCGCGAGGAAGGGCAAAUCUCAACUGCAGAGUUACUAUCCAGUGAGGCGAAGUCAACUCAGGCUGGGCCGGUCAUAACGGAGUGUAGUGCUCAAACAGAAGCUCAAGAAUCAGGUGUAAAAUCCUCUCAAACAGAGGAAACAAAAUCUAGCCCUAGAGACAGCAAAGAUGAUGAGAAAGUUGAUGCUGAUACCCAAACGUCAAAGGCUGGAAGUACCUGUUCUACCCAAACAUCACCUGUUAAAAAACAGUCGGGUAUCGUUCAGACUUCACCAAUCAAAGAAGAACCGAAAGUAAAGAAAGAGCCUAGAAAAUUUGGAGAGGAUACGGCUCCUCCAAACCUUGCACAUGGAUCAAGACAAGAUGAAUUUACAGUCACUAAUACAGUCUCAAUUUUGCAGGAUAAGUCAAAGAGGAAAAGCAAAAAGAGAUCUCGAUCCAAGAAAAGUGUCCCGUAUAUCAAAGAACCUCUAGUCAGCUAUCCAAUUUCGAAAGAUUCCGAUACAGAACAAGAUCCAAAGAGCUUAAGUCCAGACUCAAGCGAACUACAGGAUUCUUGUUUCACAUCGAAAACAUCUGUUAGAAUUAAUCCUGCUACCAGAACAUCAGAAAUCAUAACAGAUAUCUCACGACCAGUCGAUGCCUCCGAAGUUUUUGUGGACACUGUCAUUGAUACCUCCAGGAAACCAUUUAUUUCUAACCAUCCGCAGGAAACUAGGUCGAGAGAAGAUUACGGUAGUCUUCAUUCAGCAGAAAGCUUGUCGUUAGAAGAAGGUCGCUCACUCGAGACCUCUGUAAAUACAGUUGCCAAAGAUUUAGCAAACCCAAAACAAAUCAAUGUUUAUCAUGAGCAUAGUGGCUCUGGAUUGAAAGAAUGGGAAGGUGAUGUCACAAAUUUACAGUUGCUGGAAAGUUUGCCACCCCGAGGAGAACACUCUCCAGGGCCUCCUGAAGAUGUCAGUGCGAAAAUAGAAAACAAUAAUAUUAUUCAGAUUGAUCGCAGACAUCACACAGUUGAAGUUGAGUCUGAAGUCACUGUUCAGAAUGCUGAAUAUGGCUCAGUAGAAGCACCGUUAGGAAGAACUGCUCCUGUAAUGGAAUCUAUUCCUGACAAGUCGAAUCGGCCUGGAAUCGAUCCAAAUCUUGAAAAACAAGAUUCUGUGGCUCUCUAUGAUAAUUGUGGUCGAUUGAAACAAGAUGCUGAUGAGCAAAGUGCAGUAGUGCAAGAUCCAAAGGCCACUCUGUUAAGUUCACAGGCCUCAGUAGAGAGCCUUGAACUGAAGAAAAACACCAUAAAAAAUCUGAUCGAUGCCUUGAAAAUUUGUAAUCAGUUUCAGUUUCUUGGAUGUGAACUUCCAACAUUUCUUUCUGGCCAGCUGCUUGAUGCAAAUGGUGGCAAUGAUCUUGACCAUCAAGAUUUAAAAGAACAUGAUGCUGUAGCAACAUUGUACAAAGAUGUUCAUUGCCUUUUCACAGAAUUACAAAAACUGUACGCUCUGAUCGCUGAAUUGAAGAGUACUCAAGAUGAAGAUGAGAGGAAAUCCAGAGGUAAAAAAAUGGACUCUGCAAUCAAUGAGGUCUGUGAGAAGAAGACCAAGACUUUGAGCCAGAUCAGUUCAUUUGGAGACAAAAUUUCGACUGAUGAUGAAGAAACCCUCAACUCAUUUCUUGAAGAGUUUGAAAAUCAAAUGGAUCUUUUCAAAAACAAUUUGCAUGAGUAUGAAGUGGAACAGACUGAGAAAUCUCUGAAGCAAAAACAAUUUCUGGAUCAGGUGGAUUCAUUGAAGGAGCGUUUGGCAGGUGUCCAAAAUAAAAUUAAAUCUAUUCCUGCCAACAAUUUAACAGACUGUUCUGAGAAUGAAAUUUAUACACUUAAGGAGAUCGAAAAUGAAAUUACAAAGAUUCAGAGGGAUCAGGAAAAUCUACGAGAAGAACAGAUAGCAUGCAUCGAUCCCAGUACAUCAGCACUGAUUGCACUGAAAGAGUUGUCAGAAUCCAUCAAUAAUGUAAAGUAUGAACUAGAACUCAGAAAUGAAGGAACUCUAGAUUCCAUGCUUUCCUCAAAUGAACUGGAAAAGACGGUUAACAGCACAUCAACAAUUCUAAAAGAUGUUGGUAUUGUCAUUCAAUCUUAUGAGCCUGUUUCCAACUCUUCCCAACUUCAGGACAAAAUUGAAGUUUUUGAAGCCCUUCAAAUUCACCUGAAAAAGUGUCUGAACUCUCUAAAUUCUGUGAAAGCUUCAGCCACUCAGGAAAGCAGUCAGCUCCCUGCAGAAUUAGAUGUGGUCGAAAACAACGUUGUGAAAAUGAUAAUGGUGGUAAAAGAUCAGUCUGAUGGAAUGGCUCGUUCUGCAGCUCUGUCAUCGGACUUGGAAUAUCAUCUGGACACUAUCAGCAGCUGGAUUGGAUCAGUCCAGAAGAAGUUGCCAGCAUCAUCAUCACUAACAGCUACAAACUACAAGCAGUUUAUCAGCUUAUACUCUUCGAUACUAGAAGAAAUUCACCCACAUCUUGCAGAUUUACCUUACCUCACUACGCCUAUGGUAGAUUCACAAAAGCAUUGUGACUCAAAAUUAGCUAUAGCAUCUGCUGACCUAGCUUUGCAAGUUUUAGACGUGUUUUACGAGGCGAAAUCGAGUUCACUCAUCCUCCAAUCAUUAGACCAGCUGUGGACACAGUAUAGUGCCAAAUGUGAUGAUGUUGAAAGUUGGUGUGACCAAAUGAACGAGACUAUGGGACUUGUAGAAUCAUUGAAAAAUAUUGCCUAUUGGAAUCUAAUUUCAGAGAGAGAAUUUCAUCGAAACCAACUCGAUGAGGCCAAUUCAGUUCUUCACGACGCCACGAGAAUUUUGUCAGAUGAUGAUGAGGUCUCCCAAAGACAAUUUUUUGCCCAUUUGAUGUCAAAAUGGAACCCAACAGAUUCAGAAUUAUCGGAGAAACUGCAUGGUCCAGAAUUGUUUCGAUCCAGUGUACCUAAUGCCUCAGAUACCGAAACACUUGUUGGUCUAUCGGAAUACCAAGAAAAAUUCAAUGAUUUGAAGUCUUUUGUCGAGCAGUUAUCAACUCCAGCUAAGAAUCAGAGGAGCUGGAAUUUCAAAUUCAGCAGUUAAAGGUAUCCAAAUAUUUUUAGAUUGCUUGACCUAUUCUGUGCCAGUGUGAUCCUUACAGAUCUAUUCUC